This 1534-nucleotide ribosomal RNA is filed under the name Clostridioides difficile. RNAcentral describes it as "partial 23S ribosomal RNA". It matches the Rfam family "Bacterial large subunit ribosomal RNA", at positions 320 to 1874 of the family's 2925-position model. Lineage: Bacteria; Bacillati; Bacillota; Clostridia; Peptostreptococcales; Peptostreptococcaceae. The record is from RNAcentral.
AGAGGUAUCGUAAUUGAAGAGGUUUGGAAAGACCCACCACAGAAGGUAAUAGUCCUGUAUGUUAAACGAGAAGACUUUAGAUAUGAUCCAGAGUACCACGGGACACGUGAAACCCUGUGGGAAGCAGGAGGGACCACCCUCCAAGGCUAAAUACUACCUAGUGACCGAUAGCGUAUAGUACCGUGAGGGAAAGGUGAAAAGAACCCCGGGAGGGGAGUGAAAUAGAACCUGAAACCCUGCACUUACAAGCUGUGGAAGCACAUUUCUUGUGUGACCGCGUACUUUUUGUAGAACGGGCCAACGAGUUACGUUAAGUAGCAAGGUUAAGCACUUAAGGUGCGGAGCCGUAGCGAAAGCGAGUUUUAACUGAGCGUUCAGUUACUUGACGUAGACCCGAAACCGGGCGACCUACCCAUGAGCAGGAUGAAGCGAAAGUAAAAUUUCGUGGAGGUCCGAACCCACGAGCGUUGAAAAGCUCGGGGAUGACUUGUGGGUAGCGGUGAAAUUCCAAUCGAGCCCGGAGAUAGCUGGUUCUCCCCGAAAUAGCUUUAGGGCUAGCCUCAAGGUGAGAGAUACGGAGGUAGAGCACUGAAUGUCCUAGGGGGUAUUGCACCUACCGAAGACUAUCAAACUCCGAAUGCCGUCAUCUUAUACUUGGGAGUCAGACUGUGGGUGAUAAGAUUCAUAGUCGAAAGGGCAACAGCCCAGAUCGUCAGCUAAGGUCCCUAAAUGUAAGUUAAGUGGUAAAGGAUGUGGGAUUGCACAGACAACCAGGAUGUUGGCUUAGAAGCAGCCACUCAUUCAAAGAGUGCGUAAUAGCUCACUGGUCGAGUGAUCCUGCGCCGAAGAUUUCCGGGGCUAAAACUUACUACCGAAGCUACGGCAUCAGUAAUGAUGGGUAGGGGAGCUUCCCAUACGGGUUGAAGCAUGACCGUAAGGACAUGUGGACAGUAUGGGAGUGAGAAUGUUGGCAUGAGUAGCGAGAUGUGGGUGAGAAUCCCACAGGCCGUAAACCCAAGGUUUCCAGGGGAAGGUUCGUCCGCCCUGGGUUAGUCGGGACCUAAGCUGAGGCCGAAAGGCGUAGGUGAUGGACAACAGGUUGAUAUUCCUGUACUACCGAUAACCGUUUGAGAGAAGGGAUGACACAGUAGGAUAAGCUAAGCACACUGUUGGUUAUGUGUGCCCAAGCAUUGAGGCAGUCAAAGUAGGCAAAUCCGCUUUGAUAAUGCUGGGAUGUGAUGGGGAGCGAAAUUUAGUAGCGAAGUAGCUGAUUUCACACUGUCAAGAAAAGUCUCUAUCGAGGUUAAAGGUACCCGUACCGCAAACCGACACAGGUGGGUGAGGAGAGUAUCCUAAGGCCAGCGAGAGAACUGUUGUUAAGGAACUCGGCAAAAUGACCCCGUAACUUAGGGAUAAGGGGUGCCACCAUCAGGUGGCCGCAGAGAAUAGGCCCAAGCGACUGUUUACCAAAAACAUAGGUUUCUGCUAAGUCGCAAGACGAUGUAUAGGAGCUGACGCCUGCCCGGUGCUGGAA